This 234-nucleotide long non-coding RNA is filed under the name Lathyrus oleraceus (garden pea). Its description in RNAcentral is "Pisum sativum (pea) long non-coding RNA (PSAT_LNC031772)". Lineage: Eukaryota; Viridiplantae; Streptophyta; Magnoliopsida; Fabales; Fabaceae. The record is from RNAcentral.
CUAUCUAUCAAAAUAUAAAACAAUCAACAUCAAGAUACAAACAUCAUAAACAAUAAAAUCAUCAACACAAUGACAUCAUCAACAACAAAUACACAAACAUAAUCAAUAAUAACAUCAUCAACAAUAGCAUCAUCAACAAACAUCAUCAACAAUAACAUCUUCAACAAACAUCAUCAACAAUAGCAUCAUUAAUAAACACGGUCAACAAUAACAUCAUCAAUAAACAUCAUCAAC